This 78-nucleotide transfer RNA is filed under the name Desulfurococcus amylolyticus DSM 16532. RNAcentral describes it as "tRNA-Trp". Lineage: Archaea; Thermoproteati; Thermoproteota; Thermoprotei; Desulfurococcales; Desulfurococcaceae. The record is from RNAcentral.
GACGCCUCUGGCGGCCGAUGCUCCAGAUCACUAUGGGUCAGAGCGACCGUUUGGGAUGACUGAGGUCUGGAGGGAGUG